Molecule: non-coding RNA, 28 nt
Filed under: Mus musculus (house mouse)
Lineage: Eukaryota; Metazoa; Chordata; Mammalia; Rodentia; Muridae
Source: RNAcentral
UGGUGUGUCCCUUUCCUGUAGAGUGUGU